AUUGAACGCUGGCGGCAGGCCUAACACAUGCAAGUCGAACGGUAACAGGAAGAAGCUUGCUUCUUUGCUGACGAGUGGCGGACGGGUGAGUAAUGUCUGGGAAACUGCCUGAUGGAGGGGGAUAACUACUGGAAACGGUAGCUAAUACCGCAUAACGUCUCAAGACCAAAGAGGGGGACCUUCGGGCCUCUUGCCAUCGGAUUUGCCCAGAUGGGAUUAGCUAGUAGGUGGGGUAACGGCUCACCUAGGCGACGAUCCCUAGCUGGUCUGAGAGGAUGACCAGCCACACUGGAACUGAGACACGGUCCAGACUCCUACGGGAGGCAGCAGUGGGGAAUAUUGCACAAUGGGCGCAAGCCUGAUGCAGCCAUGCCGCGUGUAUGAAGAAGGCCUUCGGGUUGUAAAGUACUUUCAGCGGGGAGGAAGGGAGUAAAGUUAAUACCUUUGCUCAUUGACGUUACCCGCAGAAGAAGCACCGGCUAACUCCGUG
RNAcentral lists this ribosomal RNA (490 nucleotides) under uncultured bacterium. RNAcentral describes it as "partial 16S ribosomal RNA". It matches the Rfam family "Bacterial small subunit ribosomal RNA", at positions 30 to 507 of the family's 1533-position model. The record is from RNAcentral.